GAUUAGAUACCCCGGUAGUUCACGCCGGUACCGAUGGAUACUAGCCUGUUGGGUUGUCGGACUCGGCGCCCAAGCGAAAGUGAUAAGUAUCCCACCUGGGGAGUACGUUCGCAAGUAUGAAACUCAAAGGAAGUGACGGUGGGCCCUCACAAGCGGUGGAGCAUGUGGUUUAAUUCGAUGAUACGCGAGGAACCUUACCAGCGCUUAGAUGGGAGAUGACCGGCUCAGAGACGACCCUGUCUUCGGACAUCUUUCAAGCUGCUGCAUGGUUGUCGUCAGCUCGUGACGUGAGGUGUCAGGUUAAGUCCUAUAACGAGCGCUACCACUGCCGUUAGUUGCUAGCGAGUCAAGUCGGGGACUCUUACGUGACUGCCGGUGCAAACCGAGACGAAGUUGGGAUCGACGUCAUAUCAUCACGACACUUACGUCCUGGGCUACACACGUGCUACUAUGGUCGGUACAAUGGUAAGCCAUCUCGUGAGNGUGCGCGGAUCUUAUAUGCCGAUCACAGUUCGGA
This 517-nucleotide ribosomal RNA is filed under the name uncultured organism. RNAcentral describes it as "bacterial SSU rRNA". It matches the Rfam family "Bacterial small subunit ribosomal RNA", at positions 776 to 1297 of the family's 1533-position model. The record is from RNAcentral.